GGACUUCGCAGCUGCUGACAUGAGUCGUGCAAUGUACGUGCGCUCCAGCCUUUUUUGGCUUGCCGGGUUCGAUUCAUCGCCGGUUAACCCCGUCCCAGGUAUAGGCGGCAGAGGAUGGACUGUGCGUGGAAAUGGCACCAAGGCAGAAGCUUUCCUUAACAGGUUUUGAUAGUCUCCGGACCGGACUCCAAUUAAACAAUUGGAGGGCCUGACUGAUGGGUUGGGUUUGUUGGACGGAAAACAAAAAAAAUUCUAGAAAAAACUCUAGAUCAUAUCUACUAGAUGUAAGUAAUGAGAGGGAUUAUGAUCAUCAUAUCCUUUAGACCAAAAAGCGUUACGACCAUGGAAUCAUUGUUGGCGCAGUGAAACUUUCGAUUAGAUCAAUCUCAGUGCAGAACCGACGGCACCUUCUUGGUAUCCACACGUUCAGCUUCACGUCGUCUCCUCC
RNAcentral lists this long non-coding RNA (448 nucleotides) under Brachypodium distachyon (stiff brome). Its description in RNAcentral is "long non-coding RNA (BDIS_LNC003989)". The record is from RNAcentral. Lineage: Eukaryota; Viridiplantae; Streptophyta; Magnoliopsida; Poales; Poaceae.